GUGCCAGCCGCCGCGGUAAUACGUAGGAGGCAAGCGUUAUCCGGAUUUAUUGGGCGUAAAGUGCGUUGAGGCGGUUCUGUAAGUUGGACGUGAAAGCUCCUGGCCCAACUGGGAGAGGUCGUUCAAUACUGCAGGGCUUGAGGGCAGCAGAGGGAGGUGGAAUUCCCGGUGUAGUGGUGAAAUGCGUAGAUAUCGGGAGGAACACCAGUGGCGAAGGCGGCCUCCUGGGCUGCUCCUGACGCUGAAGGCGAAAGCUAGGGGAGCGAACGGGAUUAGACACCCCGGUAGUCCUAGCUGUAAACGAUGGAUACUAGGUGUGGGAAGUGAAAAAUCUUUCCGUGCCGAAGCUAACGCGUUAAGUAUCCCGCCUGGGGAGUACGAUCGCAAGGUUAAAACUCAAAGGAAUUGACGGGUCUCCGCACAAGCAGCGGAGCGUGUGGUUUAAUUCGAUGCUACGCGAAGAACCUUACCAGGGCCUGACAUGCAGGUAGUAGUGAAGCGAAAGCGGAACGACCCGCGAGGGAGCCUGCACAGGUGCUGCAUGGCUGUCGUCAGCUCGUGCCGUGAGGUGUUAGGUUAAGCCCUGUAACGAGCGCAACCCUUACCGUUAGUUACAUGUGUCUAGCGGAACUGCCCGGCAAAACUGGGAGGAAGGUGGGGAUGACGUCAAGUCAGCAUGGCCCUUGUGUCCUGGGCUACACACACGCUACAAUGGCCGGUACAAUGGGUCGCCAAGCCGUGAGGCGGAGCCAAUCCUUAAAGCCGGUCUCAGUUCGGAUUGUAGGCUGCAACCCGCCUGCAUGAAGGUGGAGUUGCUAGUAACCGCAGGUCAGCCACACUGCGGUGAAUGCGUUCCCGGAGAUUGUACACACCGCCCGUCACGUCAUGGGAGCUGGUAACACCUGAAGCCGGUGGGCUAACCGCAAGGAGGCAACCGUCGAAGGUGGGACUGGUGACUGGGACGAAGUCGUAACAAGGUAACC
RNAcentral lists this ribosomal RNA (983 nucleotides) under uncultured bacterium. RNAcentral describes it as "bacterial SSU rRNA". It matches the Rfam family "Bacterial small subunit ribosomal RNA", at positions 505 to 1501 of the family's 1533-position model. The record is from RNAcentral.